CCAAUCCUCUCGUCCCUCAGGAACCCUAUCCGCCUCCAUGCUCCUCCUCCCCCUCCUCUUCCAUCCUCCCACGCCAGUCACCUCCCUCUCCCGCAUCUCGUCUACCCGGGAUCCGAGGUGUGCGGGCGCGGAGACGUGCUUCCCCGGCGGUGGCAACAACCUACAAGCAAAGGAAGACGGCAGCGACACUUGAUUCAAUAUGCAGGAGAGAGAGAGAGAGAGAGAGAGAGAGAGAAGAGUAGAAGGAUAAGAAGGGAGGAGAGGAGAGAGAAAGAGAGAGGCCUCUGGGCGGUGCUCCCGCGCCUCCUCCCCACCCAUCUCGCCGACAUCUCCUCCCCGAGCUCUGCCCUCUUUAUGCACGACGGCCGAUGCAGCUCCACACCGCCGGCGCCAUCCCCUCUCGUCCCUUUGUCUUUGGGACGUCCUGCUGUCAUCUCCACCCCAUCACAGCCUCUGGCCAUUGGGCUGGGCCCUCCCUUCGUCUGAGUUGGAUAUGGCAUCAGUUGUUACCAUGACUUCAGUUAGUGCUCAGUCCUCUUUGGUUUCAAGGCCAAGGAGCCAUGGCAUAACAAGCUAUGGUGCCUUAAAGGUGUCAUACUCAUCAAUUGGCUUUGAAUUGGGAUCCUCAUUCCUCGGCAAGACCACAUCUCUCCAGGCAUCUGUUACCACAAGGGUUGUGCCAAAGGCAAAGUCCGCGGCUCAGAUACUACCUGAGGCGUCUUACAAAGUGUCAGUUCUUGAUGCUGCGGGAGGCAUCAAACAACCAUUGGGCCUAUUAAUUAAGAUGUCUCGAGACGCGACGGUGGUCUAUGGCACCAUCACCGUCUUCCUCAGCAGAAGCAGUGCGGGCUGCAGAGAUGGCCGGCUUCAUCCUACUCUCACGUUGCUAUUCGUCCGCCCGACGAAGAAGAGAUGCAUCAACAGGAGAAGCAACAUGCACGUACACACACUCUUCUCUUCUUUCUGAAAUUUUCUCGCCUCUAUUCCUAGAGCUUCUCAUCUUUGUCUCUUUGUUUGUGCAAAUUUUGUUUCUCUAUGCCUACAAGGUGUUCUUCGUCCACUUCCAUGGAUCCAACUAGUAGGUGGCGGCGUGACACGACUUUCUUCCGCUAGAACCGGCGACAUACGAGAUGGCAGUGGUGAGGUACAAAUUCUGGUGCAAUUCCUGGACCUCGUCGCCAGCAUGGCCAUCAGCAUCGUCAAUGACGCCGGAUCGACCCUCUUCGCUGGCGAUGAACCAGCGACUGGUGCUCUGCAGGAACUACCAACACGGCAAGUAACCGCUACCUCUUGAGCAUGCGUUCGUUUUCCCUUGAAGAGGAAAGGAUGAUGCAGCAAAGUAGUGUAAGUAUUUCCCUCGGUUUUGAGAACCAAGGUAUCAAUCCAGUAGGAGACGACACACAAGUCACCGAAUACCUGCACAAACAAUCAACAACUUGCAACCAACGUGAUAAAGGGGUUGUCAAUAACUUCAUGGUCACUCGCAAAAGUGAGAUCUGGUAGAGAUAAUAAAGUAAAUAUUUUUGGUAUUUUUGAUGUAUAGAUUGAAAAGUAAAGAUUGCAAAACAGUAGAUCGGAAACUAGCAAGAUGUAAAUGAGAUUCAAUAAUAUGGAAAAGAUACCCGGGGGGCAUAGGUUUC
RNAcentral lists this ribosomal RNA (1640 nucleotides) under Triticum aestivum (bread wheat). RNAcentral describes it as "partial small subunit ribosomal RNA". The record is from RNAcentral. Lineage: Eukaryota; Viridiplantae; Streptophyta; Magnoliopsida; Poales; Poaceae.